AAGAUUUUAAGUUAAUAAAAACUAUUAACCUUCAAAGUUAAAAAUAAUAAAACUUACUAUUAAAUCUUA
This 69-nucleotide transfer RNA is filed under the name Janus sp. 1 GYN-2022e. RNAcentral describes it as "tRNA-Trp". Lineage: Eukaryota; Metazoa; Arthropoda; Insecta; Hymenoptera; Cephidae. The record is from RNAcentral.